Molecule: ribosomal RNA, 485 nt
Filed under: uncultured bacterium
Lineage: Bacteria
Description: bacterial SSU rRNA
Rfam family: Bacterial small subunit ribosomal RNA
Source: RNAcentral
AACGCUGGCGGCGUGCUUAAUACAUGCAAGUCGAGCGAGCUACUUCGGUAGCGAGCGGCGCACGGGUGAGUAACGCGUAGAUGAUCUACCCUCGAGACUGAGAUACCUCCGGGAAACUGGAGUUAAUACCAGAUAACGCACAUUGGUUGGUUCUGAUGUGUUAAAGCGGUGCAAGUCGCACUUGAGGAUGAGUCUGCGGCCUAUCAGCUAGUUGGUGGGUAACGGCCUACCAAGGCGAAGACGGGUAGCUGAUCUGAGAGGAUGAUCAGCCACAUUGGGACUGAGACACGGCCCAAACUCCUACGGGAGGCAGCAGUAGGGAAUAUUGCGCAAGUGGGGGAACCCUGACGCAGCGACGCCGCGUGAGUGAAUGACGGCCUUUUUUGGUUGUAAAGCUCUGUAAAGAGGGAAAAAUGUUGCAGUGAAGAGCUGCAAUUGAUGGUACCUCUAAAGUAAGGACCGGCUAAAUACGUGCCAGCAGCUGC